GUCGCAUUGUAGGUCGUGCAGCAUUAAAUGCCGCAGUGCUUGAGACGAUCUUCUGUGAUGAUUGCAGAAGAUUGGAUGAUCGAACAAUAAUUCAUUGAGAUACCCGAGUCAUCCAUGUGUCAGUCAUCUAUUAGCCCAACUUGUGAUCAUGCAGAUCUGGCUAAUUUGGUGUGAUCUCGAUGGUGGUGCAUCGAAAAGCCAAAAUAAUGGUCGGCU
RNAcentral lists this long non-coding RNA (216 nucleotides) under Elaeis guineensis (African oil palm). RNAcentral's name for it is "long non-coding RNA (EGUI_LNC038650)". The record is from RNAcentral. Lineage: Eukaryota; Viridiplantae; Streptophyta; Magnoliopsida; Arecales; Arecaceae.